Molecule: ribosomal RNA, 492 nt
Filed under: uncultured bacterium
Lineage: Bacteria
Description: partial 16S ribosomal RNA
Rfam family: Bacterial small subunit ribosomal RNA
Source: RNAcentral
AGUGAACGCUGGCGGUAGGCCUAACACAUGCAAGUCGAGCGGCAGCACAGUAAGAGCUUGCUCUUACGGGUGGCGAGUGGCGGACGGGUGAGGAAUACAUCGGAAUCUACUUUUUCGUGGGGGAUAACGUAGGGAAACUUACGCUAAUACCGCAUACGACCUACGGGUGAAAGCAGGGGAUCUUCGGACCUUGCGCGAUUGAAUGAGCCGAUGUCGGAUUAGCUAGUUGGCGGGGUAAAGGCCCACCAAGGCGACGAUCCGUAGCUGGUCUGAGAGGAUGAUCAGCCACACUGGAACUGAGACACGGUCCAGACUCCUACGGGAGGCAGCAGUGGGGAAUAUUGGUCAAUGGGCGCAAGCCUGAUCCAGCCAUACCGCGUGGGUGAAGAAGGCCUUCGGGUUGUAAAGCCCUUUUGUUGGGAAAGAAAAGCAGCAGGUUAAUACCCCGCUGUUCUGACGGUACCCAAAGAAUAAGCACCGGCUAACUUCGUG